RNAcentral lists this ribosomal RNA (446 nucleotides) under uncultured bacterium. RNAcentral's name for it is "partial 16S ribosomal RNA". It matches the Rfam family "Bacterial small subunit ribosomal RNA", at positions 338 to 795 of the family's 1533-position model. The record is from RNAcentral.
CCUACGGGUGGCAGCAGUCGAGAAUCAUUCACAAUGGGGGAAACCCUGAUGGUGCGACGCCGCGUGGGGGAAUGAAGGUCUUCGGAUUGUAAACCCCUGUCAUGUGGGAGCAAAUUAAAAAGAUAGUACCACAAGAGGAAGAGACGGCUAACUCUGUGCCAGCAGCCGCGGUAAUACAGAGGCCUCAAGCGUUGUUCGGAAUCACUGGGCGUAAGGCGUGCGUAGGCUGUUUCGUAAGUCGUGUGUGAAAGGCGCGGGCUCAACCCGCGGACGGCACAUGAUACUGCGAGACUAGAGUAAUGGAGGGGGAACCGGAAUUCGCGGUGUAGCAGUGAAAUGCGUAGAUAUCGAGAGGAACACUCGUGGCGAAGGCGGGUUCCUGGACAUUAACUGACGCUGAGGCACGAAGGCCAGGGGAGCGAAAGGGAUUAGAUACCCCAGUAGUC